Molecule: ribosomal RNA, 198 nt
Filed under: uncultured bacterium
Lineage: Bacteria
Description: partial 16S ribosomal RNA
Rfam family: Bacterial small subunit ribosomal RNA
Source: RNAcentral
ACGCUCGACACCUACAGGAGGCAGCAGUGGGGAAUAUUGCACAAUGGGGGAAACCCUGAUGCAGCGACGCCGCGUGAAGGAAGAAGUAUUUCGGUAUGUAAACUUCUAUCAGCAGGGAAGAAACUGACGGUACCUGACUAAGAAGCACCGGCUAAAUACGUGCCAGCAGCCGCGGUAAUCUGAGGCGGCUGGCAAGGC